AAAUAAAAUAAAAUCAUUGGCUUAUUAGAUGAUGCAGUAUGUUGGAUUCUCUGAAUGAGCCGUAUACUGGACCCUAUUUGAUGAUAACUUUAAGAAAAAAUUGGGCAAUUAGAGGACUCAUUCAUCAGGCCUAUAUAAGGGCCCAUUGUCAUUUACUCUCACCGUCUCAAUGCGGCGCUUUUCAUAAGCCUAGUCUUCCUUUUUAACACUUGCAAGAACUUUAUAGAUUCUUACACACACAAAAGGAAAAAUAAGAAGAAUAUCAGGUUAGUGUAGACGAGAUAGUAAAGUGCAGAAUAAACAAAACACAACUUUUAUCUUUUUUAAUUCACUAGAACAAGAAAAAGCAAAUAUAACGUAUUUGAUAAAAGCAUUGAUUAGGCACAAUCAUCUUUACAUAACGCUCUUUUUAUUACAAAAACUCUUUAGGAUUAAUUGAUUCUAAGCUAAAACUUUCUCUAGAGCCUAAAUUUCAUUUUUUUAAAAUUCAAAAGUAUAUGUCAACGAGUACUUCAACACCCAAAAUACAACACUAACUCCAAAUGCUUGACC
Molecule: long non-coding RNA, 552 nt
Filed under: Brassica napus (rape)
Lineage: Eukaryota; Viridiplantae; Streptophyta; Magnoliopsida; Brassicales; Brassicaceae
Description: long non-coding RNA (BNAP_LNC022093)
Source: RNAcentral